Mus caroli (Ryukyu mouse) is the source of this 375-nucleotide non-coding RNA. Lineage: Eukaryota; Metazoa; Chordata; Mammalia; Rodentia; Muridae. The record is from the annotation of a RefSeq genome assembly.
AUGGAAUGGAGUUGGGUCUUUCUCUUCCUCCUGUCAGUAACUGCAGGUGUCCAAUCCCAGAUUCAACUGCAGCAGUCUGGGGCUGAGCUGGUGAGGCCUGGGGCUUCAGUGAAGCUGUCCUGCAUGGCUUCUGGAUACACAUUUACUGACUAUGGAAUGGACUGGGUGAAGCAGACACCUGUGCAUGGCCUGGAAUGGAUUGGAGCUAUUGAUCCUGGAACUGGUGGUACUGCCUACAAUCAGAAGUUCAAGGGCAAGGCCACACUGACUGCAGACAAAUCCUCCAGCACAGCCUACAUGGAGCUCAGCAGCCUGACAUCUGAGGAUUCUGCCGUGUAUUACUGUACAAGACACAGUGUUGAAACCACAUCCUGA